Molecule: ribosomal RNA, 336 nt
Filed under: Streptomyces sp. MP2
Lineage: Bacteria; Bacillati; Actinomycetota; Actinomycetes; Kitasatosporales; Streptomycetaceae
Description: bacterial SSU rRNA
Rfam family: Bacterial small subunit ribosomal RNA
Source: RNAcentral
AACGAUGAACCACUUCGGUGGGGAUUAGUGGCGAACGGGUGAGUAACACGUGGGCAAUCUGCCCUGCACUCUGGGACAAGCCCUGGAAACGGGGUCUAAUACCGGAUACUGACCCUCACGGGCAUCUGUGAGGUUCGAAAGCUCCGGCGGUGCAGGAUGAGCCCGCGGCCUAUCAGCUUGUUGGUGAGGUAAUGGCUCACCAAGGCGACGACGGGUAGCCGGCCUGAGAGGGCGACCGGCCACACUGGGACUGAGACACGGCCCAGACUCCUACGGGAGGCAGCAGUGGGGAAUAUUGCACAAUGGGCGAAAGCCUGAUGCAGCGACGCCGCGUGA